Symphalangus syndactylus (siamang) is the source of this 446-nucleotide long non-coding RNA. RefSeq lists it as uncharacterized. NCBI's taxonomy places the organism in Eukaryota, Metazoa, Chordata, Mammalia, Primates, Hylobatidae. The record is from RefSeq and is a predicted model, not a curated record.
CCCACCGUCUGGGAAGUGAGGAGCGCCUCUGCCCGGCCACCCACCGUCUGGGAAGUGAGGAGCGCCUCUGCCUGGCCACCCCGUCUGGGAAGUGAGGAGCGCCUCUGCCCGGCCGCCCCGUCUGGGAAGUCUACCACGGAGGCCAGAAGCAAUGUGGGGGCUGGACGUGGUGGCUCACGCCUGUGGUCCCGGCACUCUGGGGGGCGAGGCGGGUUGAUCACUUCAGGCUAGGAGUUCGAGACCAGUCUGGCCAACUUGGCGAAACAUGAAGAAUACAACAGACAAACCAACCAACCAACUCAAUGACAACAAAACAGGUCUACCCUGGAGUCAUACUCUAAUUUUUUCUAUUUUCCUCCCUUUCUGAUCCUUUAUCCCACUUUCUUUUUCUUCCUCUUCCUUCUCCCUCUUCUUUGUCAAAUAGAGGAUUGAGUUAUUAUCACUGA